Molecule: long non-coding RNA, 1181 nt
Organism: Acinonyx jubatus (cheetah)
Lineage: Eukaryota; Metazoa; Chordata; Mammalia; Carnivora; Felidae
Exons: 3
Source: RefSeq, a predicted model, not a curated record
UUAUUUGUUAGUUGACGAUGCAAUCAGCAUGCUGAUUAAGGUUGCUUGGUUUUUUACUAAACAUUAACUGAAUGAAAACGGGUAGUCCUUGUUCUGCUUGGGGGGCUUUAAGGAAGCAAAUGGACUUUCAGAACAGAGAUUGUCAAUAAAGGAGUAGGCUGACAUAUGGCCUCCGGAGUAUGGUUCCAGGAUUCAGUCACUAGGUGUUUUAGAUUUGAUUCCAUUGGAAAAAUACAGUGUGAAAGUAACGUGCGUGAGAAGAUUAGUAUGUGCCCGACACAAGAGUUCGCUGAAUGAAUGAUCAGAAGAAAGGAGCUCCACCAAACUGAAGACCCUUUCUCAGGAGUAACUCUAAUACCAAGUUGAGUCAGACUCCUACCAAAGUUUACCACUUAUUGACUUGGAAUAGUUGCAUUUCAACAGAGAGAUGCUGGCUGACUGAAAGGACUAUCACAUGCUUCUUUUCUUGAGGAAUACCCAGCCUGAGCUUUGGAUGUGUCCUCUGAGGAAGUACCCAUGACACAGACCACACGGGACACCAACUCUGAUAUCAGGGAAAGGUUCCACAACAGUUGAGUUUGAACAUGGGAUCACUGAGCUCCUUGGCGCAGAGCUGCUAAUGUCCCCUCUUGAGCUGACAGAGGCUGGUGCUGCCUUGAAGCAUGCCAUGCCAAUUCACAGCAAGGUCUUUAUUGUUGAAACUCUUGCAUAAUGACAUCUUUAUUCAUGUGAAAAUACAGGAUGAAUUUCAACUAUAUGAUAUUGUUUAUGUUCAUCAGAAAUGUUAUUUGUCUUUACAAAGUCUGGUUUCAAUGAACCGGCUAUGUAAUGGAUAUUAAAUAAACAUGGAAUUUUACACAUUCAUAAUAUUUGGUUUCUUGUUGUGAUUUUGAUGAACUACACUUUCAAGCACUGUCAGUUCAUCCUUAUUUACAAACAAAACAUUUGCUUGUAGCAGAGUGAUAUAGUGACUUGCUUUAUUUUAAGAUAAGUCAACUUUUCUAUUCAAUGUUUAAUGUGAAACUGACUCAAAAAUGUUCUUUUAGGCCACAUUUACAUUUCUCGCUGUAUAACAUGUAUUAUACUAUUUUAACUUAAUGCUGUGAGCUAUAUAAACCAAAGACAUUCUAAUUCUGUUUUUAAUGUAUUUUUUCCAAGAUAAAUAAUUUAUAAUGUACUAA